Molecule: ribosomal RNA, 491 nt
Filed under: uncultured bacterium
Lineage: Bacteria
Description: partial 16S ribosomal RNA
Rfam family: Bacterial small subunit ribosomal RNA
Source: RNAcentral
GAUGAACGCUGGCUACAGGCUUAACACAUGCAAGUCGAGGGGAAACGACGGGGAAGCUUGCUUCCCCGGGCGUCGACCGGCGCACGGGUGAGUAACGCGUAUCCAACCUGCCUCUGACUGAGGGAUAACCCGUCGAAAGUCGGCCUAAUACCUCAUGGCAUCGUCUGCGGGCAUCCAACGACGAUUAAAGAUUUCAUCGGUCAGAGAUGGGGAUGCGUCUGAUUAGCUUGUUGGCGGGGUAACGGCCCACCAAGGCGACGAUCAGUAGGGGUUCUGAGAGGAAGGUCCCCCACAUUGGAACUGAGACACGGUCCAAACUCCUACGGGAGGCAGCAGUGAGGAAUAUUGGUCAAUGGGCGAGAGCCUGAACCAGCCAAGUAGCGUGCAGGAGGACGGCCCUAUGGGUUGUAAACUGCUUUUAUGCGGGGAUAAAGUGAGGGACGUGUCCUUCAUUGCAGGUACCGAAUGAAUAAGGACCGGCUAAUUCCGUG